Myotis lucifugus (little brown bat) is the source of this 623-nucleotide long non-coding RNA. RefSeq lists it as uncharacterized. The transcript has 4 exons. The record is from RefSeq and is a predicted model, not a curated record. NCBI's taxonomy places the organism in Eukaryota, Metazoa, Chordata, Mammalia, Chiroptera, Vespertilionidae.
CAGAAAGAGGCAACUUGACAUAUCAGGACUGUUAAGGCUGUGGAUAGAGCUGGGGCACACGAAGCCCAUGCAAGCACAGAAUUGCAGAAGUUCAGUGGAGGCUUAUCACUUCCCUGAGAACAAAAGCACAUUUGCAGUUUCCUGUGCAUAAGAGUGUGCGCUCAAUGGCUUUCUUUCCGGGACACACUGUGAAAAUCCAGUAUUAACUGUAUGUCUCCAGGUUGAGGACCGAGAGGGCACAGCCCACUCUGCCAGGGAAAAGGCGAAGUCGUUGCUGCAUCAAUCAGAGGAAGCACUUUCAGAACAACUGAGUCUCCAGGCUAUAAAUACCGAGUUAGUGAACACUUGCCAGGCCCUCGAGCAGAAGACAAGGAAACUGAAAACAACAAUCAAGUCACUAAGAAAGAAGUUAAUCCAAGGACAGCUCCAUGGCUUGCUGUUUCAGAGCUGUUUAGACGAGGAAUUUCCUCAUUAUGAUCCUUUGUCCUGCACAGAUACAAUUCAACAACGUCUUCAAGAACAACUGAAGCAGUGUGGCCAUAAACAACAUCGUGGUCAAGAAGCAAGAAUACAGAAGACUCCCCUGACCUUCAAACAUACAUGCUGGUACACACCCCUGCUGG